Molecule: ribosomal RNA, 525 nt
Filed under: Kytococcus sp. AmSamW78
Lineage: Bacteria; Bacillati; Actinomycetota; Actinomycetes; Micrococcales; Kytococcaceae
Description: bacterial SSU rRNA
Rfam family: Bacterial small subunit ribosomal RNA
Source: RNAcentral
GCCUCGUGGAUCAGUGGCGAACGGGUGAGUAACACGUGAGUAACCUGCCCUCCACUCUGGGAUAAGCGCUGGAAACGGCGUCUAAUACUGGAUACGACCGACCCUCGCAUGGGGUGUUGGUGGAAAGAUUUAUCGGUGGUGGAUGGACUCGCGGCCUAUCAGCUUGUUGGUGGGGUAAUGGCCUACCAAGGCGACGACGGGUAGCCGGCCUGAGAGGGCGACCGGCCACACUGGGACUGAGACACGGCCCAGACUCCUACGGGAGGCAGCAGUGGGGAAUAUUGCACAAUGGGCGAAAGCCUGAUGCAGCGACGCCGCGUGAGGAAUGACGGCCUUCGGGUUGUAAACCUCUUUCAGCAGGGAAGAAGCUUUUGUGACGGUACCUGCAGAAGAAGCACCGGCUAACUACGUGCCAGCAGCCGCGGUAAUACGUAGGGUGCGAGCGUUGUCCGGAAUUAUUGGGCGUAAAGAGCUUGUAGGCGGUUUGUCGCGUCUGCUGUGAAAAUUCAGGGCUUAACCCUGGAC